GAAAUAAAAUAAAUUCUAAGAUUUCUUAGAAUUAAAAAUGGGUCGUCCAGUUUUUGUGGUCGCCUAAAAUGCAAGACAAGCUCAUUUCUUGGGUUGCGUGAUACUUUCACAGUUACCUCGUGACUUCACCAGGAAUUUUCAAGCGUGUUGAGAAUUUCGCACGAGCUAAAUUCUAUUUAUCUCGUGCGAAAUAGAAAUUGAA
RNAcentral lists this unclassified non-coding RNA (202 nucleotides) under uncultured Ambispora. RNAcentral's name for it is "sequence contains ITS2". Lineage: Eukaryota; Fungi; Glomeromycota; Glomeromycetes; Archaeosporales; Ambisporaceae. The record is from RNAcentral.